GUGUUAAUUGGGGUCUGUCCCUGAACUGCCAGCUGGAGAGGGAAGAGGGGUGGACUGCAACCUUUGGUGCGUUGAGAUAGCUUCCACCUAAAUUAGCAGAAAGACAAGAAAUUAGACACUUGUUUACAAUACAUCAAAAAUUAGAUAAUAAUGAUAAAAUUAUUUAAAAAAAAAUAUAUUACGAUUCAGUAUCAACAUAUAAAAGGACAUUUCAGGUUUAUUUCACAACAUCUUUAGAAUACAGGACCUGUUAGAUAUUUCAGGUUUAUUUCAACAACUUUGAUCUGUAAGGGGAGGAUUUUUUAGGGGUGUCUAUAUUAUGGUGUAAUAUUUGGGUGUCAUAUUGAGAUAAUCUUAUUUCUAAAAAAAUACUAACACAAGGUUUCCCGGCUACCCAUAUCUCCACAUUCAUUGGAGCCUUUUAUUUGCUCAC
This 433-nucleotide long non-coding RNA is filed under the name Mytilus galloprovincialis (Mediterranean mussel). Lineage: Eukaryota; Metazoa; Mollusca; Bivalvia; Mytilida; Mytilidae. The record is from RNAcentral.